GAUGAACGCUGGCGGCGUGCCUAAUACAUGCAAGUCGAGCGAACGGACGAGAAGCUUGCUUUUCUGAUGUUAGCGGCGGACGGGUGAGUAACACGUGGAUAACCUACCUAUAAGACUGGGAUAACUUCGGGAAACCGGAGCUAAUACCGGAUAAUAUUUUGAACCGCAUGGUUCAAAAGUGAAAGACGGUCUUGCUGUCACUUAUAGAUGGAUCCGCGCUGCAUUAGCUAGUUGGUAAGGUAACGGCUUACCAAGGCAACGAUGCAUAGCCGACCUGAGAGGGUGAUCGGCCACACUGGAACUGAGACACGGUCCAGACUCCUACGGGAGGCAGCAGUAGGGAAUCUUCCGCAAUGGGCGAAAGCCUGACGGAGCAACGCCGCGUGAGUGAUGAAGGUCUUCGGAUCGUAAAACUCUGUUAUUAGGGAAGAGCAUAUGUGUAAGUAACUGUGCGCAUCUUGACGGUACCUAAUCAGAAAGCCACGGCUAACUACGUG
This 497-nucleotide ribosomal RNA is filed under the name uncultured bacterium. RNAcentral's name for it is "partial 16S ribosomal RNA". It matches the Rfam family "Bacterial small subunit ribosomal RNA", at positions 28 to 507 of the family's 1533-position model. The record is from RNAcentral.